RNAcentral lists this ribosomal RNA (253 nucleotides) under uncultured bacterium. Its description in RNAcentral is "partial 16S ribosomal RNA". It matches the Rfam family "Bacterial small subunit ribosomal RNA", at positions 524 to 776 of the family's 1533-position model. The record is from RNAcentral.
UACGAAGGGGGCUAGCGUUGUUCGGAAUCACUGGGCGUAAAGCGCACGUAGGCGGACUUUCAAGUCAGGGGUGAAAUCCCGGAGCUCAACUUCGGAAUUGCCUUUGAUACUGUUGGUCUCGAGUCCGGAAGAGGUGGGUGGAAUUCCGGGUGUAGUGGUGGAAUACGUAGAUAUCCGGAGGAACACCAGCGGCGAAGGCGGCUUUCUGGUCCGAUACUGACGCUGAGGUGCGAAAGCGUGGGGAGCAAACAGG